RNAcentral lists this ribosomal RNA (468 nucleotides) under uncultured bacterium. Its description in RNAcentral is "partial 16S ribosomal RNA". It matches the Rfam family "Bacterial small subunit ribosomal RNA", at positions 28 to 507 of the family's 1533-position model. The record is from RNAcentral.
GACGAACGCUGGCGGCGUGCUUAACACAUGCAAGUCGAACGGAAAGGCCCUGCUUUUGUGGGGUGCUCGAGUGGCGAACGGGUGAGUAACACGUGAGUAACCUGCCCUUGACUUUGGGAUAACUUCAGGAAACUGGGGCUAAUACCGGAUAGGAGCUCCUGCUGCAUGGUGGGGGUUGGAAAGUUUCGGCGGUUGGGGAUGGACUCGCGGCUUAUCAGCUUGUUGGUGGGGUAGUGGCUUACCAAGGCUUUGACGGGUAGCCGGCCUGGGAGGGUGACCGGCCACCUUGGGCCUGAGAUACGGCCCAGACUCCUACGGGAGGCAGCAGUGGGGAAUAUUGCACAAUGGGCGGAAGCCUGAGGCAGCAACGCCGCGUGCGGGAUGACGGCCUUCGGGUUGUAAACCGCUUUCGCCUGUGACGAAGCGUGAGUGACGGUAAUGGGUAAAGAAGCACCGGCUAACUACGUG